GACAAACCUGAUUUGAAGAACAAAAGUAAUAGGUAGAGAAGCGCUACAAACCAAGAAUCCCAAAAGAAUAAAUCUGAAGAUCAAAAC
Molecule: transfer RNA, 87 nt
Filed under: Hansenia oviformis
Lineage: Eukaryota; Viridiplantae; Streptophyta; Magnoliopsida; Apiales; Apiaceae
Description: tRNA-His
Source: RNAcentral